This is a non-coding RNA of Biomphalaria pfeifferi, 314 nucleotides long. NCBI's taxonomy places the organism in Eukaryota, Metazoa, Mollusca, Gastropoda, Planorbidae. The record is from the annotation of a GenBank genome assembly.
UUUAUCUACAAGAAAAAAAAAUGGAGGGUGUAGCUAGUACAUAUAAAUAAGUUUUACUUUAGUUUCCUUAGCUACAAAUGUUGACAAAUCUAGAUCUGGACUAGGUUUAAACAAUACCACAGUGCACAAAAACAUGUGCCAUACCAAAAAAAAUAAACUUUUGUGUCAAUCUGAGUAUUAUGAACAUACUGCAAAUCUAUCUUUCUUCAUACACAAUGUACUUUCAAAAAUGUCUAUAUGUAUUUUGAUACAAUUAAUGUUUAUAUGUAUUUUGAUACAAUGACUUCUUUUUUGUAUUCUGUUAGUAUCUAAUA